Molecule: ribosomal RNA, 372 nt
Filed under: uncultured organism
Description: partial 16S ribosomal RNA
Rfam family: Bacterial small subunit ribosomal RNA
Source: RNAcentral
GGAGGGUGCAAGCGUUAUCCGGAAUCAUUGGGGUUUAAAGGGGUCUGUAGGCGGGCAUAUAAGUCAGUGGGUGAAAGUCUGUGGGCUUAACCAUAGAAUUGCCAUUGAUACUGUAUGUCUUGAAUUAUUGUGAAGUGGUUAGAAUAUGUAGUGUAGCGGUGAAAUGCUUAGAGAUUACAUAGAAUACCGAUUGCGAAGGCAGAUCACUAACAAUAUAUUGACGCUGAUGGACGAAAGCGUAGGUAGCGAACAGGAUUAGAUACCCUGGUAGUCUACGCCGUAAACGAUGGAUACUAGUUGUUUGGUUUUCGGACUGAGUGACUAAGCGAAAGUGAUAAGUAUCCCACCUGGGGAGUACGUUCGCAAAGAAUG